CUUCAACGGAGAGUUUGAUCCUGGCUCAGGAUGAACGCUGGCGGCGUGCUUAACACAUGCAAGUCGAACGAU
This 72-nucleotide ribosomal RNA is filed under the name Arthrobacter sp. ov407. Its description in RNAcentral is "16S rRNA. Bacterial SSU". It matches the Rfam family "Bacterial small subunit ribosomal RNA", at positions 1 to 70 of the family's 1533-position model. The record is from RNAcentral. Lineage: Bacteria; Bacillati; Actinomycetota; Actinomycetes; Micrococcales; Micrococcaceae.